Molecule: long non-coding RNA, 464 nt
Organism: Xenia sp. Carnegie-2017
Lineage: Eukaryota; Metazoa; Cnidaria; Anthozoa; Malacalcyonacea; Xeniidae
Exons: 2
Source: RefSeq, a predicted model, not a curated record
AGAAUCGAAUAGAACGCCGCAUCUGACACAUUAUGUAGUUGGUUUUGUCUUUUAAUCGUUCUGAAUUUAUGAAGAUGUAGUCAAUAGAAGAAAUCAAUAAACUCUACCUUCAGAAAAUACUUGCACAUAUUACGACGAAACUUGAUGAUUUUUUUAUUCAAGAAUGAAACACUUAUUACAAAGAAUCUCUCAGAGAAUGGGAAAAUACAAACGUUAGUGGUCAGAAGUUGUUCAAUAUUGAAAUUUUAAAAAAGGAAACCUCCUGACAAACUUACGCAAUCAAAUUUUUAAAAUGGUGACACCAGUAAGUGGGAUUGUACGACGCUAUUUGCCGCGAUAUUGUAUUCCAAAUCAAUUAGAACAAAAAUUGGUCUAAAAGUUAGAGAUGCUGUAAAUGAACUUCGUAAUGUAAGAAACAAAUUCAUCCUUAAAAAUAAAGAAAAAGUUUCUGAUUGAAAAUUUCA